GACGUAGGGCGCAAGCGUUGUCCGGAUUUAUUGGGCGUAAAGAGCUCGUAGGCGGCCUGUCGCGUCGACCGUGAAAACCCGCAGCUCAACUGCGGGCUUGCGGUCGAUACGGGCAGGCUGGAGUUCGGUAGGGGAGACUGGAAUUCCUGGUGUAGCGGUGAAAUGCGCAGAUAUCAGGAGGAACACCGGUGGCGAAGGCGGGUCACUGGGCCGCAACUGACGCUGAGGAGCGAAAGCAUGGGGAGCGAACAGG
RNAcentral lists this ribosomal RNA (253 nucleotides) under uncultured bacterium. RNAcentral describes it as "partial 16S ribosomal RNA". It matches the Rfam family "Bacterial small subunit ribosomal RNA", at positions 524 to 776 of the family's 1533-position model. The record is from RNAcentral.